UACAUUAAAACAGACUCCACCUUUGGUUUCCUUUCACCGUAACCUCUGUUCUCUUUCACCCUCAUGCCUUUCCACUACUGUCUCUACCUCUCUUCCCACAAUAAAUGUAUUUUCCACGCUUGAUGUAAACACUGCCACAGACACACUAAGCUCUACUUUAACAACCUGUCUAGACAACAUCUGUCCUAUCUCCUCUAGGCCAGCACAUCCUACACCACCCAGCCCCUGGCUGUCUGACGACCUUCGUGAACAUCGGACUGACCUCAGGGCAGCUGAGAGGAGAUGGCGGAAAUCUAAAGAUCCAGUAUAUCUAGAACAAGCUGCUGGAUGACAAUCAGUCAGGCUUCAAAAGUGGACACUCCACUGAGACUGUCCUGCUGUCUGUCACUGAGACAGGUGAAAGCUGAAUAGAGAUCAUCCGUCCUGAUUCUGCUGGACCUUUCUGCAGCCUUUGACACAGUCAACCAUCAGAUCUUACUCUCUACCCUCUCCUCGCUGGGCACCACAGGAACUGUGCUUGACUGGUUUAAUUCCUAUCUCUCAGCCCAACACCACCACAGUGACUGAUCGAAUUUCAGCCUGCCUGGCAGACAUCUCAGCCUGGAUGAAGGAACACCACCUGCAACUCAACCCAGCCAAGACUGAACUCCUUGUGUUUCCAGCCAACCCUGCUGUUGAACACAACAUCACUGUGCAGCUGGGUGCAACUAGAGUAACACCUUCCAAAACGGUCAGAAAUCUAGGGGUAACCAUCAACAACAGACUAAAUUUCAGACCACAUCUCAAAGACCGCAAAAUCAUGUAGAUUUACACUCUACAAUAUCAGGAAGAUAAGACCCUUCCUCUCUGAACAUGCCACACAACUGCUUGUCCAGUCACUUGUCAUAACUAGACUGGACUACUGUAACGCUCUCAUUGCAGGCCUCCCUGCAUGUGCAAUUAUACCCCUGUAAAUUAUCCAGAAUGCAGCAGCACGUCUGGUCUUUAAUGAACCAAAGAGAGAACGUUACACCACUCCUUGUCUCUCUCCACUGGCUGCCGGUUUAUGCACGUGUCAAAUUCAAGGCUCUGAUGCUGGCAUACAGAACAGUCACUGGGUCUGCUCCAGCAUACCUAAAAUAAUUUAUGCAGAGCUACGAGCCCACUAGAAGCCUGCGGUUGGCUAAGGAACGUCGCCUUGUUGUACCAACACAAAGAGGCACCGAAACACUUUCCCGGACAUUCAGCUUCAUCAUACCAUGAUGGUGGAAUGACCUUCCAACUCCAUCCGUGAAGCUGACUCAAGAUUUUCUGUCUUCAAAAAACGACUAAAAACAUCUUUUGCAUGAGCACUUAACCAGUCAUUAAUAUAUAUAUAUAUAUAAAAAAAAAAAAAAAAACUCUUUAAUCUGUUGCACUUUAAUCUGUUUUGAAUACUAUUCUGAUGCUAGUGAAACUUUGUAGUAUGGCACUUUUCAUACCAUUGUCUCCUUAAGAUGAUUCGCUUUUAUUUUCCUCUUUUGUAAGUCGCUUUGGAUAAAAGUGUCUGUCAAACGAAUAAAUGUAACUAUAUGAUUUCUUUUUCUCCGUAUGUGGCAACACCUUUAAAUUCACCAGGGCUUGUCUGAGCCUAAGAUGUUUCUAAUUGAACAAUCAACAAAAGAUGAGACUUAGAUAUAAAAAAAUAUCUAUUGUGGGCAGGUGGGCUUCUUAUGUACAUGUGAUUUAUUUAUUUUUUUUCGUUUUUUUAUUUUUAAUAAAUUUGCAAAGAUUUCAAACAAACUUCUUUCACGUCAUUAUGGGGA
Myxocyprinus asiaticus (Chinese sucker) is the source of this 1784-nucleotide long non-coding RNA. RefSeq lists it as uncharacterized. Lineage: Eukaryota; Metazoa; Chordata; Actinopteri; Cypriniformes; Catostomidae. The transcript has 3 exons. The record is from RefSeq and is a predicted model, not a curated record.